AGCAGGCGAGAAAACUUUGCAAUGUGCGAAAGCACGACAAGGUUAAUCCGAGUGGUUUCUGCUAAAGGAACCUUUUGUCAGUCCUAGAAACACUGAUGAAUAAGGGGUGGGCAAGUUCUGGUGUCAGCCGCCGCGGUAAAACCAGCACCUCAAGUGGUCAGGAUGAUUAUUGGGCCUAAAGCAUCCGUAGCCGGCUCUGUAAGUUUUCGGUUAAAUCUGUACGCUCAACGUACAGGCUGCCGGGAAUACUGCAGAGCUAGGGAGUGGGAGAGGUAGACGGUACUCGGUAGGAAGGGGUAAAAUCCUUUGAUCUAUUGAUGACCACCUGUGGCGAAGGCGGUCUACCAGAACACGUCCGACGGCGAGGGAUGAAAGCUGGGGGAGCAAACCGGAUUAGAUACCCGGGUAGUCCCAGCUGUAAACUAUGCAAACUCAGUGAUGCAUUGGCUUGUGGCCAAUGCAGUGCUGCAGGGAAGCCGUUAAGUUUGCCGCCUGGGAAGUACGUACGCAAGUAUGAAACUUAAAGGAAUUGGCGGGGGAGCACCACAAGGGGUGAAGCCUGCGGUUCAAUUGGAGUCAACGCCAGAAAUCUUACCCGGAGAGACAGCAGAAUGAAGGUCAAGCUGAAGACUUUACCAGACAAGCUGAGAGGUGGUGCAUGGCCGUCGCCAGCUCGUGCCGUGAGAUGUCCUGUUAAGUCAGGUAACGAGCGAGAUCCCUGCCUCUAGUUGCCACCAUUACUCUCAGGAGUAGUGGGGCGAAUUAGCGGGACCGCCGCAGUUAAUGCGGAGGAAGGAAGGGGCCACGGCAGGUCAGUAUGCCCCGAAACUCUGGGGCCACACGCGGGCUGCAAUGGUAACGACAAUUGGUUUCAAAUCCGAAAGGAUGAGGUAAUCCUCAAACGUUACCACAGUUAUGACUGAGGGCUGCAACUCGCCCUCACGAAUAUGGAAUCCCUAGUAACUGCGUGUCAUUAUCGCGCGGUGAAUACGUCCCUGCUCCUUGCACACACCGCCCGUCGUUUCAUUGAAGUGAGCUUUUAGCGAGGUGACGUCUGAUUGGCGUUAUCGAACUUGAGGUUCGUGACAAGGGAAAAGUCGUAACAAGGUAACC
RNAcentral lists this ribosomal RNA (1113 nucleotides) under uncultured archaeon. RNAcentral describes it as "bacterial SSU rRNA". It matches the Rfam family "Archaeal small subunit ribosomal RNA", at positions 334 to 1448 of the family's 1478-position model. The record is from RNAcentral.